UAGGAGGUACAUUUGGUACCUAUUGUUAUUAUUUUAAGCAUACAGAGAGUUAUAAGAAAGGAUUUGAAAAUCAAAAAGUGGGAUUAAAAAACUAACCUAAAGAGCUAGAUUUUAUAUAAAAAGUGGAUAUAUUCCAAUCUAAAUCAAAUGAAAGAGAGUUUUUGGAAGUUAGUAUUCAAAAGAAGGAUUUUUACAUAAGUUGUUUUUAAAAGAGGUUUCAAUUUGAGCCAUAUCUUGAAUUUUUGGACGAAUUUUUGGCUCAAA
This 264-nucleotide long non-coding RNA is filed under the name Physcomitrium patens. RNAcentral describes it as "long non-coding RNA (PPAT_LNC005309)". Lineage: Eukaryota; Viridiplantae; Streptophyta; Bryopsida; Funariales; Funariaceae. The record is from RNAcentral.